UACGUAGGGUCCGAGCGUUGUCCGGAAUUAUUGGGCGUAAAGGGCUCGUAGGCGGUUUGUCGCGUCGGGAGUGAAAACACGGGGCUUAACCCCGUGCCUGCUUCCGAUACGGGCAGACUAGAGGUAUGCAGGGGAGAACGGAAUUCCUGGUGUAGCGGUGAAAUGCGCAGAUAUCAGGAGGAACACCGGUGGCGAAGGCGGUUCUCUGGGCAUUACCUGACGCUGAGGAGCGAAAGCGUGGGGAGCGAACAGG
This 253-nucleotide ribosomal RNA is filed under the name uncultured bacterium. RNAcentral describes it as "partial 16S ribosomal RNA". It matches the Rfam family "Bacterial small subunit ribosomal RNA", at positions 524 to 776 of the family's 1533-position model. The record is from RNAcentral.